This 107-nucleotide small nucleolar RNA is filed under the name Cephalotus follicularis. RNAcentral describes it as "Plant small nucleolar RNA R71". It matches the Rfam family "Plant small nucleolar RNA R71". Rfam says of the family: R71 is a member of the C/D box family of snoRNAs containing the C (UGAUGA) and D (CUGA) box motifs. Lineage: Eukaryota; Viridiplantae; Streptophyta; Magnoliopsida; Oxalidales; Cephalotaceae. The record is from Rfam by way of RNAcentral.
CAGCAUGAUGGGGACAUUUUCUGAUGAGGUCCUUUAAUCUUUCCCAUGACUCAUGGAACAGCUCAUCGUCUUGCUGUGAGAAUCACAAAAUCCAAUGAAUAGAGCCG